This 861-nucleotide ribosomal RNA is filed under the name Salmonella enterica subsp. enterica serovar Kentucky. Its description in RNAcentral is "partial 23S ribosomal RNA". It matches the Rfam family "Bacterial large subunit ribosomal RNA", at positions 685 to 1547 of the family's 2925-position model. The record is from RNAcentral. Lineage: Bacteria; Pseudomonadati; Pseudomonadota; Gammaproteobacteria; Enterobacterales; Enterobacteriaceae.
UAAUUGGGCGUUAAGUUGCAGGGUAUAGACCCGAAACCCGGUGAUCUAGCCAUGGGCAGGUUGAAGGUUGGGUAACACUAACUGGAGGACCGAACCGACUAAUGUUGAAAAAUUAGCGGAUGACCUGUGGCUGGGGGUGAAAGGCCAAUCAAACCGGGAGAUAGCUGGUUCUCCCCGAAAGCUAUUUAGGUAGCGCCUCGUGAAUUCAUCUCCGGGGGUAGAGCACUGUUUCGGCUAGGGGGCCAUCCCGGCUUACCAACCCGAUGCAAACUGCGAAUACCGGAGAAUGUUAUCACGGGAGACACACGGCGGGUGCUAACGUCCGUCGUGAAGAGGGAAACAACCCAGACCGCCAGCUAAGGUCCCAAAGUCAUGGUUAAGUGGGAAACGAUGUGGGAAGGCCCAGACAGCCAGGAUGUUGGCUUAGAAGCAGCCAUCAUUUAAAGAAAGCGUAAUAGCUCACUGGUCGAGUCGGCCUGCGCGGAAGAUGUAACGGGGCUAAACCAUGCACCGAAGCUGCGGCAGCGACACUGUGUGUUGUUGGGUAGGGGAGCGUUCUGUAAGCCUGUGAAGGUGUGUCGUGAGGCAUGCUGGAGGUAUCAGAAGUGCGAAUGCUGACAUAAGUAACGAUAAAGCGGGUGAAAAGCCCGCUCGCCGGAAGACCAAGGGUUCCUGUCCAACGUUAAUCGGGGCAGGGUGAGUCGACCCCUAAGGCGAGGCCGAAAGGCGUAGUCGAUGGGAAACGGGUUAAUAUUCCCGUACUUGGUGUUACUGCGAAGGGGGGACGGAGAAGGCUAUGUUGGCCGGGCGACGGUUGUCCCGGUUUAAGCGUGUAGGUGUGUGUUCCAGGUAAAUCCGGUU